GCUAAAAGAUUAUACUGAAAAUAGAGCAAUGGAACACCACUUCCCACAUCAUUGAUUUGGGGUCCUGAAGUUUGCUCCAAGCUGUUACAUCAGCUGGAUACCAGUGGGAUCUCCAUGCUCUCUCAUUGCAACACAUCCCCUCCUCACCCUUUGAGGAAGAUAUCUCUGUGGAAGUACCAGCAGGGUUGCUUUCUGUACCCUCCCCCAACUCCACCCAGCUGCUCUGACACUGACACCUCAGUGAGUAUUGUCAUGAGGUUAGAAUCGGGCGCACCUGAUGGCAAGCACUUCACUGCGAUGUCUCCACAGCUGGUUCAGGAAGAAAUGGACAACUUGGUUUGCACUCAGAGGAUUACCAGAGACCAGGCACCUUCUGAGCACCAGACAGGAGGGGACCCUAAGGUAGCUGACAGCCUGGGGCUGUGAACAAGAGACAGAGAAGCCCUUAAUUCUCCAUCAGCUCAGAAGCUUUCCCUUUUCUAUGCAGUGAAAUCCACUUUA
Molecule: long non-coding RNA, 501 nt
Organism: Hemiscyllium ocellatum (epaulette shark)
Lineage: Eukaryota; Metazoa; Chordata; Chondrichthyes; Orectolobiformes; Hemiscylliidae
Exons: 3
Source: RefSeq, a predicted model, not a curated record